CCUACGGGAGGCAGCAGUGAGGAAUAUUGGUCAAUGGACGAGAGUCUGAACCAGCCAAGUAGCGUGAAGGAUGACUGCCCUAUGGGUUGUAAACUUCUUUUAUAAAGGAAUAAAACGCGGCACGUGUGCCUUUUUGCAUGUACUUUAUGAAUAAGGAUCGGCUAACUCCGUGCCAGCAGCCGCGGUAAUACGGAGGAUCCGAGCGUUAUCCGGAUUUAUUGGGUUUAAAGGGAGCGUAGAUGGGUUGUUAAGUCAGUUGUGAAAGUUUGCGGCUCAACCGUAAAAUUGCAAUUGAUACUGGCAGUCUUGAGUACAGUUGAGGUAAGCGGAAUUCGUGGUGUAGCGGUGAAAUGCUUAGAUAUCACGAAGAACCCCGAUUGCGAAGGCAGCUUACUAAACUGUGACUGACAUUGAUGCUCGAAAGUGUGGGGAUCAAACAGGAUUAGAUACCCGGGUAGUC
RNAcentral lists this ribosomal RNA (460 nucleotides) under uncultured bacterium. Its description in RNAcentral is "partial 16S ribosomal RNA". It matches the Rfam family "Bacterial small subunit ribosomal RNA", at positions 338 to 795 of the family's 1533-position model. The record is from RNAcentral.